This 509-nucleotide long non-coding RNA is filed under the name Cyanistes caeruleus (blue tit). Its description in RNAcentral is "lncRNA (ENSCCEG00000006032.1)". The record is from RNAcentral. Lineage: Eukaryota; Metazoa; Chordata; Aves; Passeriformes; Paridae.
CGGAUGCUGCAGGUGCCAAAACAGACGUGGUGUGGUACCUGCAAUUACCAGCUACCUGGUGCUCCAGCUCCUGCAACGUUCUGGCAACAGACACUAUGUCCAGUUCCACUUCAAAGCUGCCUCUGUGCUUUCAGAAUCACAACAUCAAGCCAGCAAGACCUUCUUCCCUAGGGUUGCUUGCCCUGUGGACUCUCCAUGGUCACAUCUGGAAUUAUGCAGGUAUCUGAUUUGUAUCAUAGACGAGCUGGCUUGAUUGCUGUUUUGCCAUAGAGUAAUAGUUCCCUGCUCUCCACUGACAUGCUGAGUCUCCCUUGAUCACUCAGGUGAUCAGUCAACACACGAGUUAAUUAUGGGUGAAGGGGUGUCUGGAGCCCAAAGAUCAAAAGAUACGCACAAGGUCUUCUCCAAGUCAUUAUUCACCUCCUUAAGCAUCAGGCAGUCGUUUCAGAUUCCUGCCUCCUGUACUGUCCUUAAAUAAAGUGAUAUAACAGCAGGAAACCUGAAUUAGA